Molecule: non-coding RNA, 46 nt
Filed under: Schistosoma margrebowiei
Lineage: Eukaryota; Metazoa; Platyhelminthes; Trematoda; Strigeidida; Schistosomatidae
Source: RNAcentral
AUCCAGCUGACGAGUCCCAAAUAGAACGAAAAAGAGGGUCCUGGAU